GUAGUCAUAUGCUUGUCUCAAAGAUUAAGCCAUGCAUGUCUAAGUAUAAGCAAUCAUACUGUGAAACUGCGAAUGGCUCAUUAUAUCAGUUAUCGUUUAUUUGAUAGUACCUUACUACUUGGAUAACCGUGGUAAUUCUAGAGCUAAUACAUGCUACAAACCCCGACUUCGGAAGGGGUGUAUUUAUUAGAUAAAAAACCAAUGCCCUUUGGGCUCUGUGGUGAUUCAUAAUAACUUUUCGAAUCGCAUGGCCUUGCGCCGGCGAUGGUUCAUUCAAAUUUCUGCCCUAUCAACUUUCGAUGGUAGGAUAGUGGCCUACCAUGGUUUCCACGGGUAACGGGGAAUUAGGGUUCUAUUCCGGAGAGGGAGCCUGAGAAACGGCUACCACAUCCAAGGAAGGCAGCAGGCGCGCAAAUUACCCAAUCCCGAUUCGGGGAGGUAGUGACAAUAAAUACUGAUGCAGGGCUCUUUUGGGUCUUGCAAUUGGAAUGAGUACAAUCUAAAUCCCUUAACGAGGAACAAUUGGAGGGCAAGUCUGGUGAACCUCAGUACUGCUGACGCCAGAGAUAGUGGGACGGUCCGCCGUUACGCCCACUAGUCGAGCAUCCGACCGUGAUGGGUGGAUGCCGGCGAGACAACCUGGAUCGGGGAAGGCUAAGGGUUCUCACAGAGAGCCUAUGCUGAUCCCGAGCGGAGUCGCAAGACCCGUGUAGAGCGCGCCAAGGUGUCGGUCGCUUCGGCGGCUUAAGGGACGUGCCUUCCCAUGGGAAACCAUGCCGAACACUGGAGCACCCAUCAUGCAAAGGUGUCGGACGCACAGCGUGGACAGUAGGCCAGCAGCCGCGGUAAUUCCAGCUCCAAUAGCGUAUAUUAAAGUUGUUGCAGUUAAAAAGCUCGUAGUUGAACCUUGGGCCUGGCUGGUCGGUCCGCCUCACCGCGUGCACUGAUCCGGCCGGGCCUUUCCUCCUGGGGAGCCGCAUGCCCUUCACUGGGUGUGUCGGGGAACCAGGACUUUUACUUUGAAAAAAUUAGAGUGUUCAAAGCAGGCCUUCGCUCGAAUACAUUAGCAUGGAAUAAUAGAAUAGGACGCGCGGUUCUAUUUUGUUGGUUUCUAGGACCGCCGUAAUGAUUAAUAGGGAUAGUCGGGGGCAUCAGUAUUCAAUUGUCAGAGGUGAAAUUCUUGGAUUUAUUGAAGACUAACUACUGCGAAAGCAUUUGCCAAGGAUGUUUUCAUUAAUCAGUGAACGAAAGUUAGGGGAUCGAAGACGAUCAGAUACCGUCGUAGUCUUAACCAUAAACUAUGCCGACUAGGGAUCGGGCGAUGUUAUCUUUUGACUCGCUCGGCACCUUACGAGAAAUCAAAGUCUUUGGGUUCUGGGGGGAGUACGUCAGCAAUGAUGAAACUUAAAGAAAUUGACGGAAGGGCACCACCAGGAGUAAACGCGCGCAGCACUCUGCUCCAGAAAGCCACUCGAAAGAGUUGUGGUGCCUGUGGCUAGUGGUCUCAGACCGCGACACCCUCAAAUUGCGGGAAACCCCUUAAGCUUCUGCUACCGCAGCGGCGCCGCGAGGCGUCGUGCGCACCAGGGUAAUGACCUCGGGGAUGGUAACAACGCAGAAGAUUGGGCAAUCCGCAGCCAAGCUCCCCCGCGGAGAAGGUUCAGAGACUUGAUGGGGGUGGGUUGUCGAACGACGGCUUAAGAUAAAGUCCGGCUCCACGCGAAAGCGUGGAGGUUGUGGGAGCCUGCGGCUUAAUUUGACUCAACACGGGGAAACUCACCAGGUCCAGACAUGAAAAGGAUUGACAGAUUGAGAGCUCUUUCUUGAUCUCAUGGGUGGUGGUGCAUGGCCGUUCUUAGUUGGUGGAGUGAUUUGUCUGCUUAAUUGCGAUAACGAACGAGACCUUAACCUGCUAAAUAGCCCGGUUCGCUUUGGCGGAUCGCUGGCUUCUUAGAGGGACUAUCGGCUCAAGCCGAUGGAAGUUUGAGGCAAUAACAGGUUAACUCACAGGCCUGUAAAAGUGGGAAUACUGCUAGUCCAGCGUCACCUCUGUGGGGAAGUCCCCGAGCCGGGCAGAGGCGUCUUUUGACGAACGCGGGCGACACCACCUGGUACAGGGAACGCCGUCAGGCCGAUCCUGUGGCGAGCUUGGUCACGACAAGCCGUCGCAACGUGCGGAAAGGGGUGGGCUCUUCGGAGCUUGAGGUACGUACUAAUCCCUGGGGCAACCCAGCUCUCGCGAUGAGGCCCGGCGGCCGAGGCGCGAGGGGGACGACGCGUCGUCUGGUCCACAUGCUGUGAUGCCCUUAGAUGUUCUGGGCCGCACGCGCGCUACACUGACAGAGCCAACGAGUGUCUUCCUUGUCCGAAAGGUCUGGGUAAUCUUGUUAAACUCUGUCGUGCUGGGGAUAGAGCAUUGCAAUUAUUGCUCUUCAACGAGGAAUUCCUAGUAAGCGCAAGUCAUCAGCUUGCGUUGAUUAUGUCCCUGCCCUUUGUACACACCGCCCGUCGCUACUACCGAUUGAAUGGCUCAGUGAGGCCUUCGGACUGGCUCCAGGAGGUCGGCAACGACCACCCAGAGCCGGAAAGUUGGUCAAAGUUGGUCAUUAGAGGAAG
RNAcentral lists this ribosomal RNA (2616 nucleotides) under Kendrickiella phycomyces. RNAcentral's name for it is "partial 18S rRNA". It matches the Rfam family "Eukaryotic small subunit ribosomal RNA". The record is from RNAcentral. Lineage: Eukaryota; Fungi; Ascomycota.